This 468-nucleotide ribosomal RNA is filed under the name uncultured bacterium. RNAcentral's name for it is "partial 16S ribosomal RNA". It matches the Rfam family "Bacterial small subunit ribosomal RNA", at positions 28 to 507 of the family's 1533-position model. The record is from RNAcentral.
GACGAACGCUGGCGGCGUGCUUAACACAUGCAAGUCGAACGGAAAGACCCUGCUUUUGUGCGGUUCUCGAGUGGCGCACGGGUGUGUAACACGUGAGUAUCCUGCCCUUGUCUUUGGGGUAACUUCAGGAAACUCGGGCUCAUACCGCGUAGAAUCUCCUGCUCCAUGUUGGGGGUUGGAGAGAUUCGGCGGUGGGGGAUGGACUCGCGGCUUAUCGGCUUGUUGGGGGGGUAGUGGCUUACCAAGGCUUUGAAGGCUACGCGGCCUGGGAGGGUGACCGGGCACAAUGGGACUGAGAGACGGCCCAGACGCCUACGGGAGGCAGCAGUGGGGAAUAUGGCACAAUGGGCGGAAGUCUGAGGCAGCAACGCUGCGUGCGGGAUGACGGCCUUCGGGGUGUAAACCGCUGUCGCCUGUGACGAAGAGGGAGUGACGGUAACGGGUAAAGAAGCACCGGCUAACUACGUG